GCUACUGGGUCCAAAUGGCCCACUUGGUCCUCUUGGUCCACUAGGUCCAAAUGGUCCACUUGGUCCGCUAGGUCCCCCUAGCCCGCUUGGUCUGAAUGGUGCACUAGGUCCACCAGGUCCUUUAGGUCCUCCUGGGCCACUGGGUCCGAAUGGCCCACUUGGUCCUCUUGGUCCACUAG
Long non-coding RNA from Dermacentor silvarum, 179 nucleotides. RefSeq lists it as uncharacterized. The record is from RefSeq and is a predicted model, not a curated record. The transcript is spliced from 3 exons. Lineage: Eukaryota; Metazoa; Arthropoda; Arachnida; Ixodida; Ixodidae.